GUCUGUGUGCAUUUAAAUUCUGCUUGGAAUCUGAACCAAUAAGGAGAGUGAUAUCAAUUCCACCAAUAGAAAGCAAAUCCUGAAGAAUGUUUGGGAAUCUCCUUCAGAGCUGCUGAUUCAUUUCUCCCUUGAAACUUAACAUAUGCUGCCGUUGAAACAACGAUUCAGAAAAUGGAUGUUGGAAAUAAUGCAAUUCAUGCUAAGCCCAGAAUGCAAUAAUAAACCAAAGAGAAAAACAUCCUGCGGUCUGUGUGCAUUCAAAUGGAAUUUGGAAUAUGAACCAAUAAGGAGAGUGAUCUCACUUCCAUCAAAGGAAAGCAAAUACCCAGGAAAGCUUUGAGAGCUCCUUCAGAGCUUCUGAAUAAUUUCUUCCUCCAAACUAAACGAGUGAUGCUGCAGAAAAAACAGAAUAGAAAGUGGAUGGCAGGAAAAAGCAUACUUUAUCCUAGGCAUUGAAUACAAUACAAAAAAGAGAAAAACAUCUUUGGGUCUCUGGGACAUUUUCCCUUCUCUGGAGUGAUUUACUGUCAGGGUUUGACUAAUUAAAGCUAAGAGCUGGAUAUUAGCCAGG
RNAcentral lists this long non-coding RNA (571 nucleotides) under Cricetulus griseus (Chinese hamster). RNAcentral describes it as "lncRNA (ENSCGRG00015038267.1)". Lineage: Eukaryota; Metazoa; Chordata; Mammalia; Rodentia; Cricetidae. The record is from RNAcentral.